GGUAACGUCACCUCACGGAGUUAUUAACCCGCAAAGCCUCCUUCCCUACCGAAAGGGCUUUACAACCCGCAGGCCUUCUUCACCCACGCGGCAUUGCUGGAUCAGGCUUGCGCCCCAUUGUCCAAUAUUCCCC
Molecule: ribosomal RNA, 133 nt
Filed under: uncultured bacterium
Lineage: Bacteria
Description: partial 16S ribosomal RNA
Source: RNAcentral